AAGCACAUUUUUGUUUUGACCCACGCCUUUAUCCUUAAUGAGGGCAAUGGUAUACCUAAUGUGCUAGAGUAAACCUGAAGGUCAAUUAGCAGUGUGGCUAUCUCUGUAUCCAUUGCUGCCAGUCCCCUUCAGAUAAAU
RNAcentral lists this small nucleolar RNA (138 nucleotides) under Callorhinchus milii (elephant shark). Lineage: Eukaryota; Metazoa; Chordata; Chondrichthyes; Chimaeriformes; Callorhinchidae. The record is from RNAcentral.